UACGGGGGGAGCAAGCGUUGUUCGGAUUUACUGGGCGUAAAGGGCGCGUAGGCGGCCACCGCAAGUCGGUUGUGAAAUCUCUGGGCUUAACCCAGAAAGGUCAAUCGAUACUGCGGGGCUAGAGUGCAGAAGGGGCAACUGGAAUUCUCGGUGUAGCGGUGAAAUGCGUAGAUAUCGAGAGGAACACCUGCGGCGAAGGCGGGUUGCUGGGCUGACACUGACGCUGACAGCGCGAAAGCUUGGGUAGCAAACGGG
Molecule: ribosomal RNA, 255 nt
Filed under: uncultured prokaryote
Description: partial 16S ribosomal RNA
Rfam family: Bacterial small subunit ribosomal RNA
Source: RNAcentral